Molecule: ribosomal RNA, 497 nt
Filed under: uncultured Glomeromycotina
Lineage: Eukaryota; Fungi; Glomeromycota
Description: partial small subunit ribosomal RNA
Rfam family: Eukaryotic small subunit ribosomal RNA
Source: RNAcentral
CCAAUAGCGUAUAUUAAAGUUGUUGCAGUUAAAAAGCUCGUAGUUGAAUUUCAGGCCUGGCUGGACGGUCCGCCUUUUGGGUGAGUACUGUCUGUGGUCGGGUCCUACCUUCUGGCGAAGCGUCAUGGCCUUAACCGGCCGUGGCGGGGAACCAGGACUUUUACUGUGAAAAAAUUAGAGUGUUCAAAGCAGGCAGUCGCUUGAAUACAUUAGCAUGGAAUAAUGGAAUAGGACAAUGGUUCUAUUUGUUGGUUUCUAGGACCGUUGUAAUGAUUAAUAGGGACAGGUGGGGGCAUUAGUAUUCAAUUGUCAGAGGUGAAAUUCUUGGAUUUAUUGAAGACUAACUACUGCGAAAGCAUUUGCCAAGGAUGUUUUCAUUAAUCAAGAACGAAAGUUAGGGGAUCGAAGACGAUCAGAUACCGUCGUAGUCUUAACCAUAAACUAUGCCGACUAGGAAUCGGGCGAUGUUGACAAAAUGACGCGCUCGGCACCUCAUG